This 253-nucleotide ribosomal RNA is filed under the name uncultured bacterium. Its description in RNAcentral is "partial 16S ribosomal RNA". It matches the Rfam family "Bacterial small subunit ribosomal RNA", at positions 524 to 776 of the family's 1533-position model. The record is from RNAcentral.
UACGAAGGGUGCAAGCGUUACUCGGAAUUACUGGGCGUAAAGCGUGCGUAGGUGGUGAGUUAAGUCUGAUGUGAAAUCCCCGGGCUCAACCUGGGAAUGGCAUUGGAUACUGGCUCGCUAGAGUGCGGUAGAGGGUGGUGGAAUUCCCGGUGUAGCAGUGAAAUGCGUAGAGAUCGGGAGGAACAUCUGUGGCGAAGGCGGCCAUCUGGACCAGCACUGACGCUGAGGCACGAAAGCGUGGGGAGCAAACAGG